RNAcentral lists this ribosomal RNA (402 nucleotides) under uncultured bacterium. Its description in RNAcentral is "bacterial SSU rRNA". It matches the Rfam family "Bacterial small subunit ribosomal RNA", at positions 494 to 896 of the family's 1533-position model. The record is from RNAcentral.
CGGCUAACUACGUGCCAGCAGCCGCGGUAAUACGUAGGCAGCAAGCGUUGUUCGGAAUUACUGGGCGUAAAGAGUGCGUAGGCGGUUUGGCAAGUUUGGUGUGAAAUCUCCCGGCUUAACUGGGAGGGUGCGCCGAAAACUGUCAGGCUAGAGUGUGGGAGAGGAAAGCGGAAUUCCUGGUGUAGCGGUGAAAUGCGUAGAUAUCAGGAGGAACACCUGGGGUGUAGACGGCUUUCUGGACCACUACUGACGCUGAGGCACGAAAGCGUGGGGAGCAAACAGGAUUAGAUACCCUGGUAGUCCACGCCCUAAACGAUGCAGACUUGGUGUUGGCCCUUCAUUGGGUCAGUGCCGAAGCUAACGCGGUAAGUCUGCCGCCUGGGGAGUACGGUCGCAAGGCUG